ACCAUUUUCUCUCUUAUGGCUGGGCACACAGGUAUAAGAGAGACACUAUUUUCUAAGGCGUUUACUUGUGCUAAGUAAAAUUUUUUCGGGGUCAGAGGAAGAAGUGAUCCAUUUCAUAUUCAGUUUGAUAUCCAGAGUCUGUGAUACUGGCCUUUGCUAAGCAGCAUUUUGGGCAGCUGUCUGAGGAAAGCUGUCAGAGUGUGUGAACACGGUGGUGUGCCUCUCCUUGAGAAUGAGAGAAGGAAGAGAAGGGGCCCAGAUCUGGGAAUGCUGCAUACCAAGAGGCAGCUUUGUUUUUGCCAAGGGCUGUUAUUUUCUCCACCUGUGGUUAGAAGCUCGGUUGGAAAAGAAGAGGGCUCAGGCAUGGGGUCCUAUAUGACUUAAAGUUUGAUCCCACACCACUUUUUACCCACAGGCCUAUUAUUGUUACCCUUUUUGCAUACUGGGGGGAUUAUUCUGCCUUUAAACUGGGACCCCAGGCACCUCUGUCUCUGGAGAGGUUUGUGUGUGGUGUGGAAUUGUGCAUGUCCUGAGAAGGGGACAGAAGUGGUGAUGAUUUUUUCUUACAGUGCAAGGGCCGGGGAGGAUUUUGUCUUUGUUCUGAUAGUUAUGGAGAUAGUGUUGGUUUUUGCUCUCUUCCCUCAGUCAGUUCUUGGACAGUGACUGUUUGAUAGUAAUGGGCUCAUACAUAGCUCUUUUGAGAAUCACGAAAGCUAUGGGCUCUUUCUUGAGAAACAUGUCGGAAGAUAUAUUUUGUCAACAGUCUCAAGGGUUUUACAGAUAACCUGAAGCCUAACCAUGGACUCCAGUUUUAGAGAUCCUGGUCACCAGUUCCUUACAGGAUGCUAUAUAGCUGUGGUAGGGAGAAUAAUGCACCUCUCCAUUUCUAAGUCCUGUUCCGCAGAACCUAUGAAUAUGUUAGGUUCCAUGGCAAGGUGAUUAAAAUGUGAUUAAGGGUCUUGACAUGGGGAGAUUAUCCUGGAUUAUCUGGAUGGACUCAGUAUAAUCACAGGGUGAACUGGGGAGAUAGGAGAAUCAGGAGAUGAGAGGACAGAAGCAGAGCCUAAGUGAUGAUAAUGUGAGAAAGACUUCACUAGGCGACUUUCCAAGAUGGCACAGUAGGAGACCUUGGUUUCAUCGGGUCCUAGGAAUUCAGCUAGAUAGUUAAUUAGAUCGUUGUGAACACCUGCAAACUCAACCAGAGAUCUAAAAAAAGCAUUGCUGAAAUGCUACAGAUAGAGAAGUGAUCACUUUCUGCAAGUGUGGAGAAGUGAAUCUGAGGCAGUAUAUGGGAAGAUAAACUGCAGCGGUGGGGGGAGUGCAGCAGUCAACAUAGGAAACCGAUACAGCAGCUGAGUGCAAAAUCAGAACUUUUAGAAGUCAGCUCCGGUAAGGGAUGUCCCUGCCUGAAAGGCACUCAGGUGGCAAAGAGGGGCAGAAUCUUAGAUGGGACAGUGUGGUCUCAGGAUCCUUGGGGUCACAGAAACAUCAGGGGUGCCUGAGUGUGGCAGAGUUCCCAGGCAUGGUAGUGGGGAAGCCAGCUGCUAUCAUUGAACCCACAAGUGGGCUAUCAGCUUGGUUUUGCCAUAAACUGCAGACUGUGGCAUGGUUGGGCAACUGUUCUCCAAGCAGGCGCCCAGCAUUCCACUGAACCACGGCAAGACCCACCCCUUCUGGAGACUCGAAGCAGAGUCACGUGCCUGAGAUAGAAAUGCUCGGUCACAAGCUGGGUGAGCAUGGAGUGUGGCUGGAGACCUGGGAGACAGGAGUGAUCGGCUGCUUUUUUGUGAGGGCACACAGAGGAGUGGGUCCCCAGGCUCUGUUCCAGGGCCAGAGAUUGGGAGGCUGCUGUUUUCAUUCUCAUCCUCUAAAGCUGCGCAGAAAGCCUUCAGGGAACAGAAGCCACAGAGAGCAAUCUGGAGCUGCUUGCUCAGCUUGGCCCCUUGUCAAGGGCAUGCAACUUCGCCCCUGCAAAGACACUUGAGAAUCACCUCAGCAGGCCCUUCCCCCAGAAGAUCAGCAAGAAUAUCUUAAUAAGCUAAGACCAUGUUUUUACCCAUCAUAGAGAACUCCAGAAGUCCAGCGAUAGGAAAGAAUAGUGUAUAGAAUUCAUGGUAUUUUUCUGAUUGUUUAGUCUUUGAAUUUUAAUUUUUUUCUUUACUUUUCAACCAAUUUCUUAUUUUAUUAACUCUUUCUUAAAAUCUUAAUUUUCGGGGCGCCUGGGUGGCUCAGUUGGUUGGGCAACUGCCUUCGGCUCAGGUCACGGUCCCGGAGUCCCGGGAUCGAGUUCCGCAUCAGGCUCCCAGCUCCAUGGGGAGUCUGCUUCUCUCUCUGACCUUCUCACUUCUCAUGCUCUCUCUCACUGUCUCUCUCUCAACUAAAUAAAUAAAAAUCUUUUAAAAAAAAAUCUUAAUUUUCAUUUUUACAGUUACAUUCUAUCCUUUCAUUGUAUUUCAUUUUAUUUUUAUAUAUAUGUAAGUUUUUCUGUACAGUUCUGGGAUGCAGUUUCUUGUAACAGACAGACCAAAAUACACCCAGAUUCUAGUGUAUUGCUUUGUUCUGUUCUCCUGUCUGAUUAUACUCUCUCUCUCUCUCUCUUUUUUAAAUAUUCUCUCUUUUUAAAAGUCUUCUUAAAUUUUCAUCUCUAGUUACAUUCUAUCCUUUCAUUGUAUUUUAUUUUAUUUAUUUUAAAAAAGAUUUUAUUUAUUCAUUUGACAGAGAGAGAGAUCACAAGUAGGUGGAGAGGCAGGCAGAGAGAGGGGGAAACAGGCUCCCUUCUGAGCAGACAGCCCGAUGCGGGUCUUGAUCCCAGGACCCUGAGAUCAUGACCUGAGCCGAAGGCAGAGGCUUUAACCCACUGAGCCAUCCAGGCGCCCCCUUUCAUUGUAUUUUAUUUCAUUUUUGUAUAUAUGUAAAUUUUUCUUUCUUUCUUUAUAGUUUUGGGAUGUAGCUUCUUCAAACAGACAGACCAAAAUACACCCAGAAUAUAUUAUAUUGCUCUGUUCCAUUCACUGGUCUGUUUAUACUCUUUUCUUUUUUUUGUUGUUUUUGUUUUUUUUCUUUUGUCCUUUUUCAUUUUCGUUUUUACAGUUAUAUUCUAUCUACAUUUCUUAUAUUUAAUUCUUAUAUUUAAUUUUAUAUUGAUGUGCUUAAGUUUAAUUUUGUUUUUGUACAUAUGUAAGUUUUCCUUUCUUUACAAUUUUGGGAUUUAGUUGUCUAACAGACCAAAAUACACACAGGAUCCAGUGUAUUGUUCUGUUCUGUUUACCUGUCUGGUUAUAUUCUCUUUGUCUUAAAGAUUUUAUUUAUUUACUUUUUUAUUUUUUAUUUUGGGUUUCUUCUGAUUUGUUUAGUAUAUAUUUCUCUGGGGCUGUUAUUGCCAUUUUAGUAUUUUGUUCUCUUGUUCAUCUAUUCUUCUCUGCACAGAAUGACAAGAUGGAAAAACUCACCUCAAAAAAGAGAACAAGAGGCGGUACUGACUGACAGGGACCUAAUCAGAAUGGAUAUAAGUAAGAUGUUGGAACUAGAGUUCAGAGUAACGAUUAUAAAGAUAUUAGCUGGGUUUAUAAAAAGCAUGGAAGACUCUAGAGAAUCCGUUUCUGGAGAAAUAAAAACUAAAAUCUAACCAAAUUGAAAUAAAAAAGGCUAUUAUUGGGGUGCAAUAAAAAAUGGUGGCUGUAACUGCUAGGAUAAAUGGGGCAAAGAAUUAGUGAUAUAGAAGACAAAAUGAUGGAGAAUAAGGAAGCUGAGAAAAAGAGAGAUAACUACUGGAUCAUGAAGGAAUUCGAGAUAAGUGAUAUCAUAAAGCAACACAAUAUUAGAAUAAUUGGGAUCCCAGAUGAAGAGGAAAGAGAAAGGGGGGAAGAAGGUAUAUUGGAGCAAAUUAUAGCAGAGAACUUCCCUCAUUUAGGGAAAGAAGCAGGCAUUCAAGUCCAGGAGGCACAGAGAGCCCCUCUCAAAAUCAGUAAAAAUAGGUCUACACCUCGACAUAUAAUAGUGAAGCUUUCAAAUCUCAGAGACAAAGAGAAAAUUCUGAAAGCGGCUCGGGACAAGAGGUCCGUAACCUCCAAGGGUAGAAACAUUAGAUUGGCAGAAGACCUAUCCACAGAGACCUGGCAAACCAGAAAGUACUGGCAUGAUAUAUUCAGGGUGCUAAAUGAGAAAAAAAUUCAUCAAGAAUAUUUUAUCCAGUGAGAUUGUCAUUCAAAAUAGAAGGAGAGAUAAAAAGCUUCCAGGACAAACAGAAACUAAAAGAAUUUGUGAUUAUUGAACGAGCCCUGCAAGAAAUAUUAAAGGGGAUCUUUUAAGUGAAGAGAGAGUCCAGAAGUAACAUAGAACAGAAAGGAACAGAGACAGUGUACAGAAAUAGUGACUAUAGGCAAUACAGUGGCACUAAAUUCUUACCUUCAGUAGUUACUCUGAAUGUAAAUGGGCUAAGUGCCCCCAAUCAAAAGCACAAGAUAUCAGAUUGGAUAAAAAAGCAAGACCCAUCAGUAUGCUAUCUGCAGAAGACUAAUUUUUGACCCAAAGAUGCCUCCAGAUUGAAAGUGAGGGGGUGGAAAACCAUUUACCAUACUAAUAGAUAUCAAAGAAAGCUUGGGUAGUAAUACUUAUAUCAGACAAACUAGAUUUUAAACCAAAGACUAAUAAGAGAUGGGGAAGGCCACUAUAUUGUAAUUAAAGGGUCUCUCCAACGAGAUUAUCUAAUAACUAUGAGUAUUUAUGCCCAUAACAUGGGAACAGUCAAUUAUAUAAACCAAUUAAAAGCGAAAUUAAAGAAAUACAUUGAUAGUAGGGGACUCUUAACACCUCCUUCUAUGCAGAAGAUCAUCUAAGCAGAAGAUCAACAAAGAAACAAGGGCUUUGAAUGACACACUGGAUCAGAUGAACUUCAUAGAUAAAGUCAAAGCACUCCAUCUUAAAGCGAUAAAAUACACAUUCUUCUCAUGUGCACAUGGAACUUUCUCCAGAAUAGAUCACAUACUGGGUCACAAGUCAGGUCUCAACCAGUACCAAAAGAUUGGGAUCAUUCCCUGUGUAUUUUUCAGACCAUAGUGCUUUGAAACUUGAACUCAGUCACAAGAGGAAAUUUGGAAAGAACUCAAUACAUGGAGGUUUAAGAACAUCUUACUAAAGGAUGAAUGGGUCAACCAGGAAAUUUAAAGAAGAAUUUAAAAAAUUCAUGGAAACAAAUGAAAAUUAAACCACAACUGUUCAGAACCUUUGGGAUGCAGCAAAGGUGGACCUAAGACAGAAGUAUAUGGCAGUACAAGCCUUUCUAAAGAAACAAGAAAGGUGUCAAGUAUACAUCCUAAACUUACAGCUAAGGGAGCUGGAGAAAGAACAGCAAAUAAAGCCUAAACCUAGAGGAGAAGAGAAUAAAGAUUGGAGCGGAAAUCAACAAAAUAGAAACCAAAAGAAGAGUAGGACGGAUCAAUGAAACUAGGAGCUUGUUCUUUGAAAGAAUUAAUAAGAUUGAUGAACCUCUGGCCAGACUUAUCAAAAAUAAAAGAGAAAGUACCCAAACAAGUAAAAUCAUGAAUAAAAGAGGAGAGAUCAUAACCAACACUAAGGGAUCAUGUUAUAAGCAAUUACAUGUCAACAAAUUAGGCAGUUUGGAAGAAAUGGAUGCAUUCCUAGAGAAAUAUAAACUAACAAAACUGAAACAGGAAGAAAUAGAAUACCUGAACAGACCCAUAACCAGCAAGUAAAUUGAAAGGCUAAUCAAAAAUCUCCCAACAGGCAAGAUUCCAGGGCCAGAUGGCCUCCCAGGGGAAUUCUACCAAAGAUUAAAAGAAGAAAUAAUGCCUGUUCUUCUGAAGCUGUUUCAAAAAAUAGAAAUUGAAGGAAAAUCUCCAAACUCUUUCUGUGAGGCCAGCAUUACCUUGAUCCCCAAACCAGACAAAGACCCCACCAAAAAGGAGAAUUACAGACUAAUAUCCCUGAUGAACAUGGAUGCCAAAAUUCUCACCAACAUACUAGUCAAUGGGAUCCAGUAGUACAUUAAAAGGAUUAUUCAUCAUGACCAAGUAGGAUUUAUUCCUGGGCUUCAAGGGUGGUUCAACUUCCACAUAGUAAUCAAUGUGAUAUGCUAUAUUAAUAAAAGAAUAAGAAUCAUAUAAUCCUCUCAAUAGAUGCAGAAAAAGUAUUUGACAAAAUAUAGCUUCCUUUCUUAAUUUAAACUCUGCACAGUGUAGAGUUGGAACAUACUUCAGUAUCAUAAAAGCCAUCUACGUAAAGCCCACAGUGAGUGUCAUUCUCAAUGGGAAAAAACUGAGUUCUAUAAGAUCAGGAUGGGAUGUCUGGCAUCCCCCACAGCAGGGAUGUGCACGAUCACCGCUGCUCUUCAACAUAGUACCAGAAGUCUUAGCCUCGGCAAUUAGACCACAAAAAUAAGUCAACUGAAUCAGCAAAGAAGUCAAACUCUCACUCUUUGCAGAUGACAUGAUAAUCUAACCCAAAAUUGCUGGAACUCAUACAGGAUUUCAGCAGAGUAGCAGGAUAUAAAAUCAGUGCACAGAAAUUAGUUGCAUUUCUAUACACUAACAAUGAGAAGAAAGAGAAAUUAAAGAGUUGACCCUUUUUGCAGUUGCAUCAAAACCCAUAAGAUAUCUAGAGAUAAACCUAGCUAAAGAGGGGCAUCUGGGUAGCUCAGUCAGUUAAAAGUCUGCCUUCCACUCACAUCACGAUUUCAGGAUCCUGGGAUUGAGCCCCAAGUUGGGCUCCUCGCUCAGGAAGUCUGCUGCUCCCUCUCCCUCUGCCCCUCCCUGCUGCUCUUGCUCUCUCUGUCCCAAAUCUUAAAAAACCAAAACAACAACAAAAAAACCUGGUAACCAAAGAGGCAAAGGAUCUGUCCUCAGAAAACUAUGCAACACUUAUGAAAGAAAUUGAAGGCACAAAGAAAUAGAAGAACAUUCCAUGCUCUUGGAUUGGAAGAACAAAUAUUGUUAAAAUAUCUGUGCUACUUAGAGCAAUCUAUAUAUUCAGUGUAUUCCCUAUCAAAAUACCAUCAACUCUUCACAGAGCUGGAACAAAUAAUCCUGAAAUUUGUAUGGAAUCAGAAAAGACCCCAAAUCACCAAAGAAAAGUUGGAAAAAACAAAACAAAACACAAAAGCUGGUGGCAUCAUCAAGGCAGUAUGGUACUGGCACAAAAACAGGCACAUAGAUCAGUGGAACAGAAUUGAGAACCCAGAAAUAGACCCUCAAGUCUCUGGUCAACUAACCUUCAGCAAAGCAGGAAAGAAUAUCCAGUGGAAAAAAGAGAGUCUCUUCAACAAAUGGUGUUAGGAAAGUUGGACAGCCAUACGCAGAAGAAUGAAACUGGACCGUUUCCUUACACUAUACACAAAAAUAGACCCAAAAUGGAUGAAAGACCUAAAUGUGAGACAAUCCAUCAAAAUCCUAGAGGAGAGCACAGGUGGCAGUCUGUUUGACCUUGGCCACAGCAGCUUCUUGCUAGAUACAUUUCCAGAGGCAAAGGAAACAAAGGCAAAAAUGAAGUAAUGGGACUUCAUCAAGAUAAAAACUUUUGCACAGCAAAGGAAACUGUCAACAGAACUUAAAGACAACAGACAGAGGGGGAGAAGAUAUUUGCAAAUGACAUCCAGAUAAAGGGCUGGUAUCCGAAAUCUAUAAAGAACUUAACAAACUCGGGGCGCCUGGGUGGCUCAGUGGGUUAAGCUGCUGCCUUCGGCUCGGGUCAUGAUCUCACAGUCCUGGGAUCGAGUCCCACAUCGGGCUCUCUGCUCAGCAGAGUGCCUGCUUCCUCCUCUCUCUCUGCCUGCCUCUCUGCCUACUUGUGAUCUCUCUCUGUCAAAUAAAUAAAUAAAAUCUAAAAAAAAAAAAAAAAAAAAAAAAAAGAACUUAAACUCAACACCUAAAGAACAAAUAAGCCAGUCAAGAAAUGGGCAGAAGACAUGGACGACAUUUCUCCAAAGAAGACAUACAGAUGGCCAAGAGACACAUGAAAAUAUGCUCAACAUCACUUGGCAUCAUUGAAAUACAAAUCAAAACCACAAUGAGAUACUGCCUCACAGCGGUCAGAAUAACUAAAAUUAACAAGUCAGGAAAUGACUUGUUGGCGAGGAUGUGGAGAAAGGGGUAUCCUCCUACGCCGUUGGUGGAAAUGCAAGCUGGUGCAGCCACUGUGGAAAACAGUAUGGAGGUUCCUAAAAGUUGAAAGUAGAGGUACUCUGUGACCCAACAAUUGGACUACUACUGGGUAUUUACCCCGAAGAUACAGAAGUAGUGAUUUAUAGCAUCAAUGUUGACCAUAAUCAACUAUGGAAAGAGUUCAGAUGUCCAUCAACAGAUGAAUGGAAAAAAGAUGUGUCAUAGAUAGAUAUGUAGAUAUAGAUAUAAAUAUAGUAGAAUAUUAUGCAGCUAUCAAAAAUUUGAAAUCUUGCCAUUUUCAACAGUGUGAUGGAACUAGAGGGUAUUAUGCUAAGUGAAAUGAGUCAAUCUGAGAAAGACAAUUAUUUGAUCUCAGUCAUACAUGGAAUUUAAGAAACAAAAUAGGAUCAUAGGGGAAGAAUAAAGUCGAAAUCAGGGAGACAAACCAUAAGACUUAAUUAUAGGAAAUAAACUCAGGGUUGCUGGAGGUGGGUAAGGGAUGGGGUAACUGUGUGAUGGCCAUUAUGGAGGGCACAUGAUUUAAAACAAAUAGAAAGGCUUUACUGGCCAUGAGCCAGGGAAUGUGUGUGGCCUCUAGAAGUCCCUAGAGCCUCCACAAAGAAACACAGCUCUUUAGCUCAGUGAGAAUCAUUUUCGAUUUCUGACCUGCAAAAUUGUUAAGACAAUAAAUUUCUGUUGUUUUAAGCCAGCAAGUUGUUGGUAAUUUGUGACAGCAGCAGUCAGAAGGCUAGCCUAGAUUGCUGACUCCCUUCUUGGAACUGGAAGUGCCACAGAACUGAGAGAAAAUUACUUAAAAACUGUGAGGACCCCCCCACCCCCCAGCCAGGGGAGACAGAAGGUGGGUCUGUGAGGUAGGGUUGACAACUUGGGAGUGGAAGAGGCUGGAUAUACUGGCCAAAGAAGACUGUUAGGUUCUGCCUUCUUUUCUCAGUGUUGCUUUGUCCCAUCUCUUCCACACCUUGUGGUCUCAGAUUCCAGUGAAGGGAGAUAGCUUUUGGAAAAGAGCAGUGCCUCCUUGAAUUUGCCUGAAGGUUAGAUUCUUCCUGCAAAGUGUGUCCUGUGGCCAAUGAGCCCAGAGCGAGAUUCCUGAGGUACACUCUUCACUCUCCUAAAAGUUCCAGACACUGGUCUAGAUACUGAGGAUACAGUAAUAAAGUUUCUAUUCUCAAGGAACAGUAAGUAGACAAGAACAACCCACAGGUACAAUGGUUUUUAAGUACUGUGGGAAAAAAAUCAGGGAGGAAAAUCAAGUGCUAGGCUUUGGGAAGGAGCAGGUUUGUGUGUGUUUGUUUGUUUUUUAAAGAUCCUAUUUAUUUAUUUGACAGGCAGAGAUCACAAGUGGGCAGAGAGGCAGGCAGAGAGAGAGGAGGAAGCAGGUUCCCUGCCGAGCAGAGAGUCCGAUGCGGGGCUCCAUCCCAGGACCCUGGGAUCAUGACCUGAGCUGAAGGCAGAGGCUUUAACCCACUGACCCACCCAGGUGCCCUGGGAAGGAGCAGAUUUAAGUAGGGUGAUAGGCCUCUCUGAGGUGCCAUUUGAGCAUGGUCACAGCAGAAGUGAGGGACUCAGCAGUGAGUGGAAUGAUUAAUGAGAAUAAGAUUGUGAGGCUGAGGUGCCAGCCACAGUGGACGUUCUGAAGCCAAAGCAGGCUUUGUUGAAGACUGGUGGGAGUUUGUUGGGGCUGAUGGCUGGAGGGUUUAGGGGACAACGUGGGGAGCCCCAUGGACCUUGUGAGACUCUGGAUUCCAUGUGUACCUUGGGGGUGGUGGUGGUAGAGAGUUUGUUGGAGGCAGUGCAGUGAGUGGAGGAGUAGUGUGGUCUCACUUGGUGAAUAGCUCAAGGGAGCCAUAACGAGUAGCUGACAGGUAUAGUCGAAUGAAAAGAAAAUGGCUCAUUGAUGGCAUGUGCUAGUGGGAGCAUAAUCUGUGCUCCCAGCCUCCUGGGAGCAUGGAGUAAGCAUGAUGAGUAUCAUCAAGGAAAGCAAGUGGGGACAUGAAACAGGAAUAAGGAGGCAUUCUUGGGACCAAAGAAUUUGGGAGAUGGGUUGAGUAGCAGAAUGGAUGUCGCUAAAGAGUGAAGAAGUUGGAAGGUCAGGUCUAAGAAUUCUGUGCAGCAUUAAGAGGGAUAGAGAGGCGAAAGAUAGGCGGAGCGAAGUGCUAUGGAGGAUGGAGUAGAAAUGUCAACAUUUGUGUAAUAGAAAUCUCCGAGGCAGAGAGGAAGUGACCAGAGGAAGGGGAGGAAAAUGUCUGAGGUUAUAAUAACCCAGAGUUUCCCAGAAAUCAUGAAAGAGGAAAGGUCUGAAAUUUAAAUAAUGCUAAACACAACAGAUGGAAGGAAGAAAUCCCACGCCUAGACACUACAGUAAAAACCUGACAACGAAGAUGUAGAGAAAAUUUCAAAUCUUUUUGAAAGACAAAGUCACAGAGGAAUAAGGGGACUAGUAUCAAACUUGUCAGUAGCAAUAAUGGACCUAGGGGGAAAAAAUAUUGGACCUAGGAGAGACUUUUUCAGGAUCAAAGUAAAUAACUUGAAAAGCAGAAUUGUGAAUCCUGCUAAACUUAUUUAAAUGUAAAGUUGAAAUACUUUUUUCCUUUAGCAUAGCUGACGUUGGAAGGUUUUCCACACCGGGCUCCUGAGUGGAGGAAUUACUUUUAGAGCCCAGGGGCAUGUGGUAGAAUCAGUAAUGUGAGAGAGAGCAUGCUCAUAAGGAAGUGUUCUGUUGGCCAAAAAAGCAAGGGCUUUGGGACUUCGGAGUGAGCAAAGAUUUCUGACAGAAGACACAACACCAGAAACCUUGGAGGAGGAAAUGGGCGCCACCGUAACUGGCUUUUAAAAAUGUUCACUAGAGAGUAAAAAGGCAAGCCAUAGGGUGAGAAAAGAUAUUUGCAAGAAUAUGUCUGACACAUUGCUUAUCUCCAGAGGUUUGAAGAAACGCCUCCCAAGUCAGUAAGAAAAAGUUAGGCAACCCCAUUAGAAAAGGGGCAAAACAUCUUGAACAUUUAAUUUACCAAAAAGGAUGUCUGGAUGGCUAGCAAGCAUAUGGGGAGGUAUUAACCUCUGCAAUCAUCCAAAAUGGCAAAUUAAAACCAUAACACAGUGCUCCUGCACACCCACCAAAAUGACUCAGUGAAAAAGAUGGAUAGUACCAAGUGAUGUUGAGGUGUGGAGCACCUUGGAUUGUUGGGCCCUGCUGUUAGGGGAUAUAAAUUGAUGUGGUGAUUUUAGGAAAUUUGGCAUCCCUUACUAGAGGAAGAAUUAUGUACAUAUUCUACAACUCUGUGAACCAGUCCCAGGCAUACAGCCAACAGAAAUACAUCUCGUGUUCACUUAAAGAUAGGUUCAAAAAUGUUCACAACAGUACUGCUUGCUUGUCGUAGUCACAAACUGGAGUUAAACCAGAUGUCCA
This is a long non-coding RNA of Mustela lutreola (European mink), 11538 nucleotides long. RefSeq lists it as uncharacterized. The transcript is spliced from 2 exons. NCBI's taxonomy places the organism in Eukaryota, Metazoa, Chordata, Mammalia, Carnivora, Mustelidae. The record is from RefSeq and is a predicted model, not a curated record.